UAUAGAGUAGGGGUUAGUGCGUUAAGUGCUUUGAGGAUGGGAUGUUGCCUCAUUGACGAAGAAUUUUAUUCGCGGUGCUAAUCUCGCAUUCGCUGCA
This is a regulatory RNA element of Enterococcus cecorum, 97 nucleotides long. It matches the Rfam family "THF (Tetrahydrofolate) riboswitch aptamer". From Rfam's summary of the family: THF riboswitch presents a pseudoknot that joins P1-P2 and the loop of P3 and two THF binding. NCBI's taxonomy places the organism in Bacteria, Bacillati, Bacillota, Bacilli, Lactobacillales, Enterococcaceae. The record is from Rfam.